CCCUACGGGAGGCAGCAGUGAGGAAUAUUGCACAAUGGGCGAAAGCCUGAUGCAGCAACGCCGCGUGAGGGACGAAGGCCUUCGGGUCGUAAACCUCUUUUCUGAGGGAAGAGACAAGGACGGUACCUCAGGAAUAAGUCUCGGCUAACUACGUGCCAGCAGCCGCGGUAAAACGUAGGAGGCGAGCGUUAUCCGGAAUUACUGGGCGUAAAGCGCACGCAGGCGGCUUGGUAAGUUGGACGUGAAAGCUGCUGGCUUAACUGGGAGAGGUCGUUCGAAACUGCUGAGCUUGAGGCUGGAAGAGGGGUGUGGAAUUCCCGGUGUAGUGGUGGAAUGCGUAGAUAUCGGGAGGAACACCAGUGGCGGAAGCGGCACCCUGGUCCAGGCCUGACGCUGAUGUGCGAAAGCGUGGGGAGCAAACAGGAUUAGAUACCCUGGUAGUCCAC
Molecule: ribosomal RNA, 446 nt
Filed under: uncultured bacterium
Lineage: Bacteria
Description: bacterial SSU rRNA
Rfam family: Bacterial small subunit ribosomal RNA
Source: RNAcentral